Molecule: ribosomal RNA, 247 nt
Filed under: uncultured Microbacterium sp.
Lineage: Bacteria; Bacillati; Actinomycetota; Actinomycetes; Micrococcales; Microbacteriaceae
Description: partial 16S ribosomal RNA
Rfam family: Bacterial small subunit ribosomal RNA
Source: RNAcentral
CACCCCGUAAACGUUGGGAACUAGUUGUGGGGUCCAUUCCACGGAUUCCGUGACGCAGCUAACGCAUUAAGUUCCCCGCCUGGGGAGUACGGCCGCAAGGCUAAAACUCAAAGGAAUUGACGGGGACCCGCACAAGCGGCGGAGCAUGCGGAUUAAUUCGAUGCAACGCGAAGAACCUUACCAAGGCUUGACAUACACGAGAACGCUGCAGAAAUGUAGAACUCUUUGGACACUCGUGAACAGGUGG